UGACACCACCUUUUUUAGGCACAACAUGGACUGGGCUCACCCAAGUACUAUCAGAGAUAGGGUAGAUGAUACCCGCAUCUAGAAGUUUCAUUAUCUCUUUCUUAACAACAUCUCUAAGAUUCGAGUUUAACCGUCUUUGAUGUUCUACAGAAGUAAUUGAUUC
RNAcentral lists this small RNA (163 nucleotides) under Arabidopsis thaliana (thale cress). RNAcentral's name for it is "ATSL098090". The record is from RNAcentral. Lineage: Eukaryota; Viridiplantae; Streptophyta; Magnoliopsida; Brassicales; Brassicaceae.